Canis lupus familiaris (dog) is the source of this 2362-nucleotide RNA transcript. It is a transcript of the gene named gamma-aminobutyric acid type A receptor subunit delta, with no coding region annotated. The record is from RefSeq and is a predicted model, not a curated record. The transcript has 12 exons. Lineage: Eukaryota; Metazoa; Chordata; Mammalia; Carnivora; Canidae.
GCCUGUGCCGCCGCCGCGGCCGCGGGAGAAGCAACUUCUCGAGCGCCGGCGACCGGCCGGACCCCGGCGCCGCCCCCGGCCCAGCGCAGAGUGCCGAGGCCAUGGACGCGCUGGCCUGGCCGCUGCCCCUGCUCCUCCUGCUCUGCGCGCAGCAGCCCCGCGGCACCAGAGCAAUGAAUGACAUUGGAGACUAUGUUGGCUCUAACCUGGAGAUAUCCUGGCUCCCCAACCUGGACGGCUUGAUGGACGGCUAUGCUCGCAACUUCCGGCCUGGCAUUGGAGGGCCCCCUGUGAAUGUAGCCCUGGCCAUCGAGGUGGCCAGCAUCGACCACAUCUCGGAAGUGAACAUGGAGUACACCAUGACGGUGUUUCUGCACCAGAGCUGGCGGGACAGCAGGUUGGCCUACAACCACACCAACGAGACUCUGGGCCUGGACAGCCGCUUUGUGGACAAGCUCUGGCUCCCGGACACCUUCAUUGUGAAUGCCAAGUCCGCCUGGUUCCACGAUGUGACCGUGGAGAACAAGCUUAUCCGGCUGCAGCCUGACGGGGUGAUCCUGUACAGCAUCCGAAUCACCUCCACGGUGGCCUGUGACAUGGACCUGGCCAAAUACCCUAUGGACGAGCAGGAGUGUAUGCUGCACCUGGAAAGCUAUGGUUACUCCUCGGAGGACAUCGUUUACUACUGGUCUGAGAACCAGGAGCAGAUCCACGGCUUGAACAAGCUGCAGUUGGCUCAGUUCACCAUCACCAGCUACCACUUUGCCACAGAGCUGAUGAACUUCAAAUCUGCGGGUCAGUUUCCUCGGCUCAGCCUGCACUUCCACCUCCGGAGGAACCGGGGCGUCUACAUCAUCCAGUCCUACAUGCCCUCCAUCCUCCUGGUCGCCAUGUCUUGGGUCUCCUUCUGGAUCAGUCAGGCAGCAGUGCCCGCCAGGGUAUCUCUAGCAGGCAUUACCACAGUGCUGACCAUGACCACGCUGAUGGUCAGUGCCCGCUCCUCCCUCCCGCGGGCCUCAGCCAUCAAGGCGCUGGAUGUGUACUUCUGGAUCUGCUAUGUCUUUGUGUUUGCUGCAUUGGUGGAGUAUGCCUUCGCCCACUUCAAUGCUGACUACCGGAAGAAGCAAAAGGCCAAGGCCAAGGCCAAGGUCAAGGUCACAGAGCAGAGAGCAGAGAUGGAUGUGAAGAAUGCCAUUGUGCUGUUCUCCUUGUCCGCCGCGGGAGUCACCCAGGAGCUGGCAGUGUCCCGUCGGCAGUGCCGCAGGCCUGGGAACCUCAUGGGCUCCUAUAGGUGUGUGGAGGUGGAGACAGGAGAAGCCAAGAAACAGCGGGGGGCCCGUGCAGGGGGCCAAGGAGGCCUCCGUACACUUUUCAAGCCCAUCGACGCAGACACCAUCGACAUUUAUGCCCGUGUGGUGUUCCCUGCGGCCUUUGUGGCAGUCAAUGUCCUCUACUGGGCAGCCUACGCCAUGUGAGGGCAGAGGUGGGCCUCUGCCUGUCCUGGAGCCCAUAGCCACCAGCUCCUCCCUCUCCCCCUCCAGCCCUACCUCCAUCUCUAGCUCCAAGGCCCUUUACCUCCUCAAGACCUCUUCUGGUACAAGGUUACCCCUUCGUCCCCUGCCCUAAAGGCCUGGGUUGCAGAGCUUGGCAGAGUCAUCCAGGGAGUAGGAUGGGCCAAGGAGCAAGACCUCCAGGAUUCAAUGUGAGCAGAAGCUCCACAAAUGGAGUGGACCUGGGGCCGCUUGGCCCUCACUGGACGUGCGUUGCUGCCGUGGCCCACUCUGUGCCACUGAUGUGGAAGCCCCCAGAGGUGAAUCCUGCAAAACUGAAAACCAAGCAUCCUGCUCAGAUUUCUGGCCUCUGGAGGAUUUGUACUCACCACUGUUCUUCAAGGACAUUCUUGAGUGGGGCAAGUGGCACAACGGUCCAUUGUCACCUCUGUCCAACGUAUCAUGCUGGCAUGAUAUCUGUGAACCAGGAUGGAGGGCACUCACCCCUCAGGAUAGGAAACAUGAGAGGACUCUGGCAGCUGCCAAAUAAAUCCACCAUGAAGCAGGUGGGAACCAGGGAAUGAUCAUAGGAUGUGUCCACAAGCCUGCUGGAUCGACUCUGAGGGGGACAUGGGCCAGGACUCCAUCCAUCACUCGACAUUCAUAAGCCCUCGUACCACCUGGGGGCCAGUUUUGACAUCUUGGGUCUCUUGGUACCACUGUCAACCCAGACCCUGUAUCAAAAAGUCCUUCAACAGGACGCCUGGGUGGCUCAGCGGUUGAGUGUCUGCCUUUUGCUCAGGGCGUGAUCCCGCGGUUCCGGGAUUGAGUCCCGUAUCAGGCUCUCUGCAUGAAGCCUGCUUCUCCCUCUG